AUGAGGAGACCCACCCAAGCGCAUCUCGUCGGCACUGCCGCGCUCUUCCUGCUGGCGGCCGCCAUCUCCGCGGCAACCGUUGCCGCGGUGACCUCGGAGGCCGAUGCCCUUCUAGCAUGGAAGACCAGCCUCGUCAAUGCGACCGCGCUAUCUAAUUGGACCCGGGGCACGCCGGUCUGUGAUUGGACAGGCGUGUUCUGCAACAUCAAUGGCGGGAUCAGGGGGCUAAAUCUCCCGGGACUCGGUCUCUCGGGCGAGCUUGACACGCUCGACACGGCGGCGCUUCCGGAGCUUGCCUCUCUGAACCUUCAGAGGAACAACCUCGGAGGCCCCAUCCCGGCCAGCAUAUCGCGGUUGCGCUCCCUCAAAGUAGUCGACCUCAGCGGCAACGGGUUCAACGGCUCCAUCCCGCCGCAGCUUGGUGACAUGCCCAGCCUCGCCGCCCUCUAUCUCUACGAGAACAACCUCAGUGGUGAGAUCCCACGCCAGCUCUGCAACCUUCUCUCCGUCCAGUCGUUGGACAUGUUCAACAACCGACUCACCGGGGAGCUCCCGAACUGCUGGUGCAACCUGCAGUCUCUGCGGUACAUGCGCCUGUCAAACAAUCGGCUCACCGGGGAGCUCCCGGAUUGCUGGUGGAACCUACAGGCUCUGGAGUCCAUGUUCCUGUCCAACAACUCCUUCUCAGGUGAAAUCCCGGCGGUUAAGCCAAGCCACAACUGCUCUCUCACGUCACUGUCUCUUGCCGGAAAUGCCUUUUCCGGAGCCCUCCCACUCCUAGAGGGUUGCAACUCGCUCGCUAUCCUCGACCUCAGCAGCAAUAUGUUUAACAACACCAUUCCACCACAGCUCAGUAGCAUGCGCAGCCUCACCGACCUCCGGCUCUACAAUAACAACCUCGUCGGCAACAUCCCGCACCAGCUCUGCAGCCACCUCUCCAUCCAGACACUAGACCUGUCAAACAACCGGCUCACCGGGGAUCUCCCGGACUGCUGGUGCAAAUUCCAGGCUUUGAUGUUCAUGGACCUAUCGAACAACCAUCUCACCGGCAAGCUCCCGGACUGCUGGUGGAGCCUAGAGGCUCUGAUUUUCAUGGAUCUAUCCAACAACUCCUUCUCAAGUAAAAUUCCCGCAGCUAUGGCAAGCCACAGCUGCUCUCUUAGGUCUCUUUACCUUGCUGGAAAUGGCUUCAUUGGUGCCUUCCCUCCCGUUCUAGAGGGCUGCAACUCGCUGUCCAGCCUGGACAUGGGGAAUAACAAGUUCUUUGGUGUUAUCCCUCCAUGGAUCGGAAGUCAGAUCCCAUUGUUGAGAAUCCUUAGCCUGAAAUCAAAUAAUUUCACUGGAGAAAUUCCUCUAGAGUUAUCACGCCUUUCGCAACUUCAGCUGCUCGACAUGGCAAACAAUAGCUUGACCGGCUCGAUUCCGGUAGCCUUCGGCAGCUUGACCUCCAUGAUGCAUCCAAAAAAUCUAUCGACUACAAAACCGUCUGACAAGUUUAAUUACUAUGACAGAAUCGACAUAAUUUGGAAGGGCCAGUACACGAUAUUUAGAAAAGAUAUCCAGUUAUUGGCCGGUGUCGAUUUGUCGGGCAAUUUGUUGUCUCGGUGCAUUCCUGAAGAGCUAACCAACCUUCAGGGCCUCCAAUUUCUAAACCUGUCCAGAAACAAUUUGUCAUGUAGCAUUCCUAAAAACAUUGGUAGUUUGACUUUUCUCGAGUCCCUUGAUCUAUCAUCUAAUGGCCUUACAGGAGCCAUUCCGUGGAGCAUCUCGAGCUUACCAUGGCUCGCCUCGUUGAAUGUCUCGAACAAUCUUUUGUCUGGCAAGAUACCCACCGGGAAUCAGCUUCAGACCCUGACUGACCCAUCAAUUUACUUCAACAAUUCUGGGCUAUGUGGAUUUCCUCUAAACAUUUCAUGUGCCAAUACUUCGCUUGCACCGGACGAGAGAAAUGGUGAAGAGGAGGACCACUGGAUGUACUACUGUGUGAUUGCUGGGAUUGUGUCUGGUCUCUGGUUGUGGUUUGGUACGCUCUUUACAGUUAAGUCCUGGAGAUGUUGUUUUCUUUCCUUCGUGAAUGGUAUGCAAUGUAAAAUUAUGAAAAAUUGA
RNAcentral lists this ribosomal RNA (2106 nucleotides) under Triticum aestivum (bread wheat). RNAcentral's name for it is "partial small subunit ribosomal RNA". Lineage: Eukaryota; Viridiplantae; Streptophyta; Magnoliopsida; Poales; Poaceae. The record is from RNAcentral.